This 90-nucleotide transfer RNA is filed under the name bacterium TMED15. RNAcentral's name for it is "tRNA-Leu". It matches the Rfam family "tRNA". Rfam says of the family: Transfer RNA (tRNA) molecules are approximately 80 nucleotides in length. Their secondary structure includes four short double-helical elements and three loops (D, anti-codon, and T loops). Further hydrogen bonds mediate the characteristic L-shaped molecular structure. tRNAs have two regions of fundamental functional importance: the anti-codon, which is responsible for specific mRNA codon recognition, and the 3' end, to which the tRNAs corresponding amino acid is attached (by aminoacyl-tRNA synthetases). tRNAs cope with the degeneracy of the genetic code in two manners: having more than one tRNA (with a specific anti-codon) for a particular amino acid; and 'wobble' base-pairing, i.e. permitting non-standard base-pairing at the 3rd anti-codon position. The record is from RNAcentral. RNAcentral also lists the same sequence under 1 other name.
GGGCGAGUGGUGGAAUUGGUAGACACAACGGACUUAAAAUCCGUCGAUCAUUUAACGAUCGUAAGGGUUCAAGUCCCUUCUCGCCCAUCA